GUUAAAGGCUCCCUACGGCCCUAUAGACUGACUACGUACUACUAACUGAGUUUGUACGCAAAAUAUACAUCUACGUCAGUGAUGUUUAGUCUUUACAGUCAAGUCUCAAAAGAUUUGUUCCAAAAGUUAAGUCCUCGAUAAACCUUGUGCAGCUAAUGAAGGGGGAAGUCCUCCGCUUCAUCAUCUUCGUCGUCAUCUUCAUCAUUGGUGCGAGAGGUAUCACGAUCUAUUGGUGCUUUUUCAAUGCUAGUUCCCUGCAAUAUAUAAUAAGAGUAUAUGAAGACAUUUAUAUAGUGGCUGGCCAAAUAUAAUUUAAACUAAAAUCUGACCAAUUUGAUAUAAAAGAAUCAAAACUGCUUUGAAAUUUGCAUGUACUGCACAAACUGAUUGCUUUAAAGGAUUUGAGUUUUAAUUGCAGCCAAGAAAUUGGUCCUGGUUCCUAACAUCACAAGUUUGAUACACUAUAGGAGUAACUCAAAAUAUACACCAAUUACAGAUAGGUAUAUUUGAAGUUUGUAACACAAUUUUAAGCCUAACAGGCUAACACGCAUGAAAUUAAGAGCAAGACAGAAUUAGCGGCAGCCCUUUCCUAAAACCCUCAGACUUGAAAUCUGAGAUGUGUCACUUUCAAGAUCUAUCUUUUUUGCAGAGAUAAUUAAAAGAAAGAAAAGCAUGAGCAAAAAUAAAUCAAUAUAUGUUUCUUGAUAAUUAACUAAUAAAAACUCAUUCCUACCAAAUUAUCCAGCAUACAUGUGGGAUAUCCAGCUUCAAAAUUUUCUGCCAAGUCUAAAGAUUAGUAGGAUUUAAAAAUGAUUAAACACUUAAUUAAAAUUAAGGGACCGUUUACUUUCAAAAAUAGUCAAUAAUCAAUAUCAGAGUUCACCUUCAAAAUUCAAAGUUUAAACUUCUGAUUACUGUAUCAAACUAACCUCGAUUCAUUUAGUAGUAUAAUAAUCACCCUCAUAGUACUAAUUUCAAAUUAAGAUCCUGAUGAUGAGAGCAUAGCCGUUUAACCAACCAACCACUAACAACUCACUUUACAUCGAACCAGGUGUGUUUCAAUAAUCAAAAUCAAUAGAUUAUCACAGGAAACAUCACUAGAUUAUCACAGCAAACAAUAUUUUUAUUACUCACCCACCUAUUAUAUCUAACUAUUAUAUAUGUUAUAUUUUUGUUCAAUUAAUUAGACAUAACUAAGUAAUAAUCAAGUAAGUAAUUACCUCCAAAAUGACCUU
RNAcentral lists this long non-coding RNA (1235 nucleotides) under Daucus carota (carrot). Its description in RNAcentral is "long non-coding RNA (DCAR_LNC003488)". The record is from RNAcentral. Lineage: Eukaryota; Viridiplantae; Streptophyta; Magnoliopsida; Apiales; Apiaceae.